This 704-nucleotide long non-coding RNA is filed under the name Gossypium barbadense (sea-island cotton). Its description in RNAcentral is "long non-coding RNA (GBAR_LNC016303)". Lineage: Eukaryota; Viridiplantae; Streptophyta; Magnoliopsida; Malvales; Malvaceae. The record is from RNAcentral.
ACUCAAACCCAAUAUUACACCAAUCCAAUCUCAAAACCUAAAAAAACCAAGCAGGAAAACCUAGAACCCUAAAGCCAUCCGUGCAGCAGCCUCCGCCUCGUCAGCAAGCUCGUCGCCCAAGGUCUGACGCCUCUUCUGCCCCUUUCACCGAAAUGGCAAGCCAGGGCCGUUGACAUUGUCAUGGAUACCUGCAAAGAAGGAAGAAAGAGACAAAAACAGAAGCAGAAAAGCAAAAACAAAAAAACAAAUAUUGUAAUCAAUCAGCUAUAAAAGCCUAAUGAACAUAUUGUAUUUUGAUAGAACAAGCAUAAGAGAGAAUAGAAAUUGCAAUAGUUCAAACAGAAGGUAGUUUUUUCUUUGUUAUUAUUAUUUUUUUGAAUCACGCAUAUAUAAAAAUAAAUAUUUUUUUUUACCUUUUUCGCCUUCAUCGGUAUCUCCUUUGGCCUGGAAGGCCGCGUCGAAGGAUGACCAGAGACCGAAAGGGUCCAUUUUUAUUGUUGAACAUUGACCGGAUCUAGGAAUUUUGACCCCAAAUUCAGGUUCCCCAGAAGACAGGGACAAAAAAGGUAACUUUUUGCAAUCUCUGGCCACCGAAGGCGGCAGUCUCCGUCGCUGAUGACCGGUGGCCAUGAAGGAGACUCACCGACACCAAGGCCGGAUAGGGAAGGGUUGAGAGAAAAAAAGAAGAAGGCUUAAAGUUUUUU